UCCAGGAGGGGGUGGGAGGCUCAUGAGACGCCGGAGGUAAACAAAAGGUGACAGGUACGGGAAAAUGGAAACUCAGAAGAUUCUCGAAGGCCCCUCCCCCAGAGUAAACAACUGUUUGGUGUGGAGGAGACUGACUGGAGAGCUGCGGAGGAGCAAUUCUCAGACCACUGAACUGUCUGGAAAAGAAAUGUGCAGAGAGCUACAGAGUUGGACUUGUGUGAGUCAUCGCUGAUGUUGGGUGGGUUUUGCAGGGAUUCAGCCGUCUCUGAGUCAUCUCGGCUCCUGUAAGUGAACCCCUCAACCAUAUUCCAGUAAGCAAUCCCAGUGAAAACGCACUGGCAUCAAGCUGGACUUCAGUGCCAUUACUACUUUGGUCUGUCCUGGUUUUCUUUUCUAGGGUAUCAAGAGUUCAAAAUGGCCAAAGAGAAGUCUUCCAGUUCAAUGGGGUAUUUUUUUCCUCCUGACAUAAGCCUCUCCCCUUUGAAAUGAAGACUUCACAUCAUCGGAGCACAAAAUCACCUGGUCAGUAGAUGGGGACUACUGUCGAUUUUCUUAACUGAACUCUAACCUACCCAAAGGCGAGAAUAACCACAGUGAGAUAAUGGAGUGAAUCACAGAAGACAAAGCCUAGACCACAUGGGACCUCUGUGGUUGCUUCAUCACUGCAUCCCCUGGCUGGGCAAAACCGCUCUAUGACAUUCCCUUAUGCUUUAAGAUAGUAUAUAUAAAUUUCAUAUUUUUAAAUAAGAAUCAAGGAAAGCUCAGACAUUUAAAUAUACUUUUUCGUUCAUUCUGGUUUUGCUUCUACAAAUAGCACAUAAGGUAUAACAACAUAGACUGUAUUUUCUAAGAUAUUACUAUAAUUAAAGACUAUUUCAAAUCUC
This is a non-coding RNA of Peromyscus maniculatus bairdii (prairie deer mouse), 884 nucleotides long. The record is from RefSeq and is a predicted model, not a curated record. Lineage: Eukaryota; Metazoa; Chordata; Mammalia; Rodentia; Cricetidae.